GGCUACUGCUAUUGGGAUUCGACUAAGCCAUGCGAGUCAAGGUGUCUUCGGACGCCGGCGUACGGCUCAGUAACACGUAGGUAACCUACCCUCAGGACUGAGAUAACCCCGGGAAACUGGGGCUAAUAUUAGAUAGAUAAAAGGUACUGGAAUGUUCUUUUAUCCAAAGCUUUUGCGCCUGAGGAUGGGCCUGCGUCCGAUUAGGUUGUUGGUGGGGUAAUGGCCCACCAAGCCUGCGAUCGGUACGGGCAGUGAGAGCUGAAGCCCGGAGUUGGGGACUGAGACAAGGCCCCAGGCCCUACGGGGCGCAGCAGGCGCGAAACCUCUGCAAUGCGGGAAACCGUGACAGGGGGAUCCCAAGUGCUCAUGCAUUGCAUGGGCUGUUCUUUGGUCUAAGUAACCAGAGGAGUAAGGGCUGGGCAAGACCGGUGC
RNAcentral lists this ribosomal RNA (432 nucleotides) under uncultured archaeon. Its description in RNAcentral is "bacterial SSU rRNA". It matches the Rfam family "Archaeal small subunit ribosomal RNA", at positions 22 to 458 of the family's 1478-position model. The record is from RNAcentral.